GACGAACGCUGGCGGCGUGCUUAACACAUGCAAGUCGAACGGAAAGGUCCUGCUUUUGUGGGGUGCUCGAGUGGCGAACGGGUGAGUAACACGUGAGUAACCUGUCCUUGACUUUGGGAUAACUUCAGGAAACUGGGGAUAAUACCGGCUAGGAGCUCCUGCUGCAUGGUGGGGGUUGGAAAGUUUCGGCGGGUGGGGAUGGACUCGCGGCUUAUCAGCUUGUUGGUGGGGUAGUGGCUUACCAAGGUGUUAACGGGUAGCCGGCCUGAGAGGGUGACCGGCCACAUUGGGGCUGUGAUACGGCCCAGACUCCUACGGGGGGGGGCGGUGGGGAAUAUAGCACAAUGGGCGGAAACCUGAUGCAGCAAAGCCGCGUGCGGGAUAACGGCGUUCGGGUUGUAAACCGCGUUCGCCUGUGACAAAGCGAGAGUGACGGUAAUGGGUAAAGAAGCACCGGCUAACUACGUG
RNAcentral lists this ribosomal RNA (468 nucleotides) under uncultured bacterium. RNAcentral's name for it is "partial 16S ribosomal RNA". It matches the Rfam family "Bacterial small subunit ribosomal RNA", at positions 28 to 507 of the family's 1533-position model. The record is from RNAcentral.